Hordeum vulgare subsp. vulgare (domesticated barley) is the source of this 119-nucleotide non-coding RNA. The record is from Rfam. NCBI's taxonomy places the organism in Eukaryota, Viridiplantae, Streptophyta, Magnoliopsida, Poales, Poaceae.
GGAUGCAAUCAUACCACCACUAAAGCACCGGAUCCCAUCAGAACUCCGAAGGUAAGCGUGCUUGGGCGUGCGUAGUACUAGGAUGGGUGACCUCCUGGGAAGUCCUCAUGUUGGAUUCC